This 328-nucleotide ribosomal RNA is filed under the name Sarcomonadea sp. RNAcentral's name for it is "SSU rRNA". The stretch from base 109 to 328 matches the Rfam family "Eukaryotic small subunit ribosomal RNA", at positions 734 to 955 of the family's 1831-position model. Lineage: Eukaryota; Cercozoa. The record is from RNAcentral.
AAUUUCUGGCUUGGCAAUUUUGGCCCGGUACGGUAACGUACUGUUUGUGCUGACUGUUGCCGGUCAUCCUUCUGGGUUUAACGGAUCGUGCUCUUCACGGGGUUGCGGUUUCGCGAACCAGAUCUUUUACUUUGAAAAAAUUAGAGUGUUUAAAGCAGGCGUUUGCUAUGAAUACAUUAGCAUGGAAUAAUAAUUUAGGACUUCGGUUCUAUUUUGUUGGUUUCUAGGACUGAAGUAAUGAUUGAUAGGGAUAGUUGGGGGUGCUAGUAUUCAGCGGCCAGAGGUGAAAUUCUCGGAUUCGCUGAAGACUAACUUAUGCGAAAGCAUU